GACGAACGCUGGCGGCGUGCUUAACACAUGCAAGUCGAGCGGUAAGGCCCUUUCGGGGGUACGACGAGCGGCGAACGGGUGAGUAACACGUGGGUGACCUGCCCUCAGCUCUGGGAGUAAGCCCGGGAAACUGGGUCUAAUACCGGAUAUGACUCCAUGACGCAUGUUGUGGGGUGGAAAGCCUUGUGCGGCUGAGGAUGGGCCCGCGGCCUAUCAGCUUGUUGGUGGGGUGAUGGCCACCAAGGCGACGACGGGUAGCCGGCCUGAGAGGGCGACCGGCCACACUGGGACUGAGAUACGGCCCAGACUCCUACGGGAGGCAGCAGUGGGGAAUCUUGCGCAAUGGGCGAAAGCCUGACGCAGCGACGCCGCGUGAGGGAUGACGGCC
RNAcentral lists this ribosomal RNA (388 nucleotides) under uncultured bacterium. RNAcentral describes it as "bacterial SSU rRNA". It matches the Rfam family "Bacterial small subunit ribosomal RNA", at positions 28 to 416 of the family's 1533-position model. The record is from RNAcentral.